GGGCGCGGCGGUCGCUGC
Molecule: small nuclear RNA, 18 nt
Filed under: Arabidopsis thaliana (thale cress)
Lineage: Eukaryota; Viridiplantae; Streptophyta; Magnoliopsida; Brassicales; Brassicaceae
Description: snRNA_13986
Source: RNAcentral